GACCUGGCCGGGCGGUCCUCCUCACGGUGCGUACUGUCUGGCUGGGCCUUACCUCUUGGUGAGCCGGCAUGCCCUUUACUGGGUGUGUCGGGGAACCAGGACUUUUACCUUGAGAAAAUUAGAGUGUUUAAAGCAAGCGUACGCUUGAAUACAUUAGCAUGGAAUAAUGGAAUAGGGCUG
Molecule: ribosomal RNA, 180 nt
Filed under: uncultured Glomeromycotina
Lineage: Eukaryota; Fungi; Glomeromycota
Description: partial small subunit ribosomal RNA
Source: RNAcentral